CAGGAAGAUGGGAACUGGCUCUGUCCCACCCUGCAUGGUAUCUUUGGUACUCCUGGAGACAGGGCACAUGCUACUGCUGAAAUCUUACAUGAAGAAAAAUAACACUCAUGACAUCUACAACAGUUUCAAGGGUUCAAGGAGAAGCUAAAAAGUACAGCAAAGGCAGUUCCCCAGGCACACUUCUUCCCAUGGAGCUGCAAACAAGUGGGGUUAAUGGGAUUGACCCCAGCUCCCAGGGAGGGCCCUACUGGCCUAAGCCAACUAGCACACAGCGACUCUCUGGCCAAACUAAUUGAAUAAAGUGUUGGUAUGGGAUCUAAAUUAGCAAAAUCAGUGAAACUCAAGAAUUUUCACUUUUUCAAGG
RNAcentral lists this long non-coding RNA (364 nucleotides) under Homo sapiens (human). RNAcentral's name for it is "HSALNT0377891". Lineage: Eukaryota; Metazoa; Chordata; Mammalia; Primates; Hominidae. The record is from RNAcentral.